Long non-coding RNA from Teleopsis dalmanni, 159 nucleotides. RefSeq lists it as uncharacterized. NCBI's taxonomy places the organism in Eukaryota, Metazoa, Arthropoda, Insecta, Diptera, Diopsidae. The transcript has 2 exons. The record is from RefSeq and is a predicted model, not a curated record.
UGUUUUUUAUUAAAACCAAAAUUUAGAAGUAUAUUUUGCAAUUUAAUCACACAAACCGCACUUUUGCUGACACGGAUCGCGACAACUAGAGUAUUUAAAUUUAGAUAAAAACGGAGCGUCCGCAGUUGGAGUGUCUUGUUUCGCCAAAACGCGCCAAAA